This 307-nucleotide long non-coding RNA is filed under the name Brassica napus (rape). RNAcentral describes it as "long non-coding RNA (BNAP_LNC016086)". Lineage: Eukaryota; Viridiplantae; Streptophyta; Magnoliopsida; Brassicales; Brassicaceae. The record is from RNAcentral.
CCGGUGAGUCUUGAGUAUCCGAAUACAAGUUCGUACACGAACUAAUGAAACGGAAAACUUCCAUUGACAACACUUCCAUUGACAACACAAUGCUCCCUGCAAGACUAUCAUCCAAACCAAGUGAAAGAUUUUGAAGGUAAGUAGGUUCCAUAACGGAAAACACUAGGCUAUCAAGGCCCAAACUACUUCGGUUCAAUGUAAAGAAGCAACUACUAUCACAUUUCUUUCCCAGCUGCCACGAAUGGGGAGAAAAUAGCAACAAUGCAUCCACUGUUACAACACAAACCAACACAUAGUUAAAAAUAGC